UAUUAAAAAUUUCAUCCAUUUAUAUUGUUAAAAACUAGCAUGGUUGACGAAAUAAUUAGAUAAUUACACAUGGCGUGCCAUGUGUACCUCAUGCUGAUGUACAAGGAUCCAAAAAUAGAUAGAAUUUUUAACA
Gossypium raimondii (Peruvian cotton) is the source of this 133-nucleotide non-coding RNA. Lineage: Eukaryota; Viridiplantae; Streptophyta; Magnoliopsida; Malvales; Malvaceae. The record is from Rfam.